UACGGAGGGGGCAAGCGUUGUUCGGAAUUACUGGGCGUAAAGCGCACGUAGGCGGACUGGAAAGUCAGAGGUGAAAUCCCAGGGCUUAACCUUGGAACUGCCUUUGAAACUCCCGGUCUUGAGGUCGAGAGAGGUGAGUGGAAUUCCGAGUGUAGAGGUGAAAUUCGUAGAUAUUCGGAGGAACACCAGUGGCGAAGGCGGCUCACUGGCCCGAUACUGACGCUGAGGCGCGAAAGCGUGGGGAGCAAACAGG
This 253-nucleotide ribosomal RNA is filed under the name uncultured bacterium. RNAcentral's name for it is "partial 16S ribosomal RNA". It matches the Rfam family "Bacterial small subunit ribosomal RNA", at positions 524 to 776 of the family's 1533-position model. The record is from RNAcentral.